GACGAACGCUGGCGGCGUGCCUAAUACAUGCAAGUAGAACGCUGAAGAGAGGAGCUUGCUCUUCUUGGAUGAGUUGCGAACGGGUGAGUAACGCGUAGGUAACCUGCCUUGUAGCGGGGGAUAACUAUUGGAAACGAUAGCUAAUACCGCACAACAAUGGAUGACACAUGUCAUUUAUUUGAAAGGGGCAAUUGCUCCACUACAAGAUGGACCUGCGUUGUAUUAGCUAGUAGGUGAGGUAAUGGCUCACCUAGGCGACGAUACAUAGCCGACCUGAGAGGGUGAUCGGCCACACUGGGACUGAGACACGGCCCAGACUCCUACGGGAGGCAGCAGUAGGGAAUCUUCGGCAAUGGGGGCAACCCUGACCGAGCAACGCCGCGUGAGUGAAGAAGGGUUUCGGAUCGUAAAGCUCUGUUGUAAGUCAAGAACGGGUGUGAGAGUGGAAAGUUCACACUGUGACGGUAGCUUACCAGAAAGGGACGGCUAACUACGUG
This 497-nucleotide ribosomal RNA is filed under the name uncultured bacterium. RNAcentral describes it as "partial 16S ribosomal RNA". It matches the Rfam family "Bacterial small subunit ribosomal RNA", at positions 28 to 507 of the family's 1533-position model. The record is from RNAcentral.